ACGGGAGGCAGCAGUGGGGAAUAUUGCACAAUGGGGGAAACCCUGAUGCAGCGACGCCGCGUGAAGGAAGAAGUAUUUCGGUAUGUAAACUUCUAUCAGCAGGGAAGAUGAUGACAGUACCUGACUAAGAAGCCCCGGCUAACUACGUGCCAGCAGCCGCGGUAAUACGUAGGGGGCAAGCGUUAUCCGGAUUUACUGGGUGUAAAGGGAGCGUAGACGGCGAGGCAAGUCUGAUGUGAAAGGCUGGGGCUCAACCCCGGGACUGCAUUGGAAACUGUUUUGCUUGAGUGUCGGAGGGGUAAGCGGAAUUCCUGGUGUAGCGGUGAAAUGCGUAGAUAUCAGGAGGAACACCGGUGGCGAAGGCGGCUUACUGGACGAUUACUGACGUUGAGGCUCGAAAGCGUGGGGAGCAAACAGGAUUAGAUACCCUGGUA
RNAcentral lists this ribosomal RNA (434 nucleotides) under uncultured Blautia sp. RNAcentral's name for it is "partial 16S ribosomal RNA". It matches the Rfam family "Bacterial small subunit ribosomal RNA", at positions 341 to 792 of the family's 1533-position model. The record is from RNAcentral. Lineage: Bacteria; Bacillati; Bacillota; Clostridia; Lachnospirales; Lachnospiraceae.